Molecule: ribosomal RNA, 497 nt
Filed under: uncultured bacterium
Lineage: Bacteria
Description: partial 16S ribosomal RNA
Rfam family: Bacterial small subunit ribosomal RNA
Source: RNAcentral
GAUGAACGCUGGCGGCGUGCCUAAUACAUGCAAGUCGAGCGAACAGACGAGGCGCUUGCUCCUCUGACGUUAGCGGCGGACGGGUGAGUAACACGUGGAUAACCUACCUAUAAGACUGGGAUAACUUCGGGAAACCGGAGCUAAUACCGGAUAAUAUAUUGAACCGCAUGGUUCAAUAGUGAAAGACGGUUUUGCUGUCACUUAUAGAUGGAUCCGCGCCGCAUUAGCUAGUUGGUAAGGUAACGGCUUACCAAGGCGACGAUGCGUAGCCGACCUGAGAGGGUGAUCGGCCACACUGGAACUGAGACACGGUCCAGACUCCUACGGGAGGCAGCAGUAGGGAAUCUUCCGCAAUGGGCGAAAGCCUGACGGAGCAACGCCGCGUGAGUGAUGAAGGUCUUCGGAUCGUAAAACCCUGUUAUUAGGGAAGAACAAAUGUGUAAGUAACUAUGCACGUCUUGACGGUACCUAAUCAGAAAGCCACGGCUAACUACGUG